GCGCUCGUAGCUCAGCUGGAUAGAGUACCUGGCUGCGAACCAGGCGGUCGGAGGUUCGAAUCCUCCCGAGCGCGCCA
This 77-nucleotide transfer RNA is filed under the name Oceanospirillaceae bacterium. Its description in RNAcentral is "tRNA-Arg". It matches the Rfam family "tRNA". Rfam says of the family: Transfer RNA (tRNA) molecules are approximately 80 nucleotides in length. Their secondary structure includes four short double-helical elements and three loops (D, anti-codon, and T loops). The record is from RNAcentral. Lineage: Bacteria; Pseudomonadati; Pseudomonadota; Gammaproteobacteria; Oceanospirillales; Oceanospirillaceae.